Molecule: ribosomal RNA, 258 nt
Filed under: uncultured bacterium
Lineage: Bacteria
Description: partial 16S ribosomal RNA
Rfam family: Bacterial small subunit ribosomal RNA
Source: RNAcentral
UACGUAGGGCGCAAGCGUUGUCCGGAAUUAUUGGGCGUAAAGAGCUCGUAGGCGGCCAGUUGCGUCCGCUGUGAAAUCCCGGGGCUUAACCCCGGGCGUGCAGUGGAUACGGGCUGGCUAGAGGCAGGCAGGGGAGAACGGAAUUCCCGGUGUAGCGGUGAAAUGCGCAGAUAUCGGGAGGAACACCGGUGGCGAAGGCGGUUCUCUGGGCCUGUACUGACGCUGAGGAGCCGAAAAGUGUGGGGGAGCGAAACAGGG